RNAcentral lists this small nucleolar RNA (130 nucleotides) under Mus caroli (Ryukyu mouse). RNAcentral's name for it is "predicted gene, 26021 (MGP_CAROLIEiJ_G0036523.1)". It matches the Rfam family "Small nucleolar RNA SNORA17". Rfam says of the family: snoRNA ACA 17 belongs to the H/ACA family of snoRNAs and is predicted to guide pseudouridylation of the 28S rRNA at positions U4659 and U4598. It shares the same host gene together with ACA43. The record is from RNAcentral. Lineage: Eukaryota; Metazoa; Chordata; Mammalia; Rodentia; Muridae.
CCUGCCUCCAGAGUGUUGCAGGUGUGGCUGCUGUGUCACAUGUGCAUCAGUAGGUGGCAGCAGGAGGAGAGAAGCUACACUCUGUUCUGACUUAUGAGCAUCUGAAUGAUUCGAUUAGUAACCUAACAUU